Long non-coding RNA from Esox lucius (northern pike), 7671 nucleotides. Lineage: Eukaryota; Metazoa; Chordata; Actinopteri; Esociformes; Esocidae. The record is from Ensembl.
GGCCUGUAUAUUAUAUAAACAUAAAUAUAAGACAAUGUAAAUGAGAAGAAAUUGUGUAUUUGAAGGUCACAAAGGUGCAUUACCAACUCAACCUCAUUGGGACCUAUUUUAUAACCCCAUUGUUGUAUUGAACUGAAACAAAACAACACCAUUUCUCUUCAUAUUCCUUAAAUUGCAAGUUGUAAAUGAUUUUGCCCUGCCUAUAAUAGGUUACAAUGCCCUGGGUUAAAUAACGCUGUACAUGGGAUAAAAGAUGUUGUUAAUGUCGGGUGCAUGUUUUCUAAUAGUGAAUAAAAGUCACACUGUAUAAAUAAAUUCACUUAGAUGGAAUGUAAAAUGUGUAUUAUUUAAUGCAAAAUGCAGAUGGUAUACAAAAUGACAAUUCAUGUUCUCCAUUGUUCUCUCUCACAAAUUAAAUGAAAUACAAACAAAUGAAUGCAAAUGCCUUAAGAUAACAAUCCAUAUUCUCUCCUACUGUAUAUGAUAGCCCUCAUAUUAGUGAUGCCAAUCUUAUCCAUCAUAUAUUAAUUAUCAUCAUCCUUUUUUUUUGGCCUCUUAUUACUCUCCAUCAGUGUUGCUCACAGGCAAGGAGCUCCAGAAUAGCCUCCUGGUGGGUGGCAUGAGAGGACCCAGUUUCUUGAGGAUAUCCCUCUUCUUGGCCUCCUCAACGCACCUUGGCCUCAGGGUGGUGGAUAUCUUUAACUGAAACUUAUUCAGCAGGAGAUCCAGCUCUAAAAAGUCCUCCUCCUCAUGGGACAUCUUCACAAAUAUGCUCCUCGAACCACAUUGCAACUGAACAACUUUAAGGUCUGCCAGUUUGGGUACCUUCUUCUUUUGACUGAAGAGUGGCCAUCCGUCUAGUCCCUUCAUUUCUCACCUCCAACCCCUCAACUUUCCUUGCAUUUGAGUUUCCCACCACAGAGAGGAAGUCUUUGAAAUCGUAGACCACCCCUCCGGGUCUGCUCUUCAUCACCUGCCCCACGAUGAAAACUGUCUGCACUCAUAAAUGUGUGCCCUAGCUCGAAGAACUUAAGGAUGUUUUCAGUCGAGACGGUGCUGGAGUUGACGAAGGACACAAGCCAAGAAGAAGACAAUCUUUGUUCUGAGAGCUACAGCGGUCUACCCAGUGUGCUUGAUGACCCACUCCUUCUCCAAUCCCGCUGCAUAAUUCCAUGUUAUCUCCCUUGCACAACCGCACUGCAAUCCCUUCGUGCCAUACAACAGAGACGGUCUUCUUUUUGUUGGCCUUUUUUCCCUGACUGAUGCAACGGUUCCAUGAAACGAUCCGUCUUGUGAACAUGGCUGACUCGACGCCAGGCAUCUGUGGGAGCACGACCACCUUCUGCAGGUCCACACUUCUGGUGGAUGCGUCUUCAGGCCAAUCCAUUUCAGCAUCUGACCUGUAGCGUAGCCCGCUCUAUGCUGCCGCAUCCGACCUGCAGCGUAGCCCGCUCUAUGCUGCCGCAUCCGACCUGUAGCGUAGCCCGCUCUAUGCUGCCGCAUCCGACCUGUAGUGUAGCCCGCUCUAUGCUGCCGCAUCCGACCUGUAGCGUAGCUCUAUGCUGCUGAUUUCUUGUGUUCUUGCCACCUUUUACACUGCGGGCAGUUCGUUGCAGCCUCCCCCUGGUGGUCACCUUUCACGUGCGGUUCCUGCAGUAGACAGCACUCGCACUCCUCCUCUUCAAGCUUAUGUGGGAAUCCUGUGGGAGGCCUGGGGGAAACCCACUCAACAGCGCCCUACACUGGGGCUUGGUAUGCAGUGCACCCCACGCUCAAACACCUGCCGUCACUAAGGACAUACCUCCCUCUAUUUAUUUAAGUAAAGCAAGUACCCGGACUCUGUUCGUCAGUUUUAGUUGUUUUUUACUUGCAUUAAUUUAAGAGCCUGCUGUUUGACGACUACUGGCCUAAAGCCUUGUAUGUUCCACCGUUUAAUGAAAUAUACUCCAAAAAGAACCGCAACUUCCUGGUCUCCUGUCUGUUUAUUCUAGUCCCCUUCUACAAGUGUCAGUGCUGGGGAGUUGAACCGUCACACUUAGUAAAGCUAAUGUUCUUAGACUUAACUGCCUUUCGAUACGACUCGUAGGAACAGUUGUUGCCUUUUUCCACAUAGUCAUUAUACAUGAGUUUGAUGCUAAUGUCGCUGGGGAGGUAGCGGCGGCACGGGGCAUGCUCGCUCUGGUUGUGGCUGAUGGUCGGGUGGAAGGACUCAAUGUGAUGAUGCAAUGGCUUCGGGUCCAGCUUGUUGGCCGGUGCAUGUCUCCCUCUCUGAUCUUUAGGGGGAACAGAAGGAGUUGUGAUGUCUUUGCCCAUCACUGAGAGGACCAGGCUGUCGUUGGUCGGGUGGUACCCUAAGGUUGCAAGGAAGAAAUGCUUGCACACCUGCUGUGGGACCUGGAAUUCAUCUUUCAACCUGUAGAUAAAAGACCUGCCCCGCCGACUUGAUUUUCCGUCACCACAGACUUUUGCGGUUGGUACCUGGCUCACACUGUAAAACAUGAAGGAACGUUUCUCAGUGUAUGGCCGGUCCCAGUACUUGUCCCAUAUUUCUCUCCGUCUGUCCACUGAAAAUUUCUCAGAGCAUUUUCUUCUGCAUUUGGGGCCACACGGUUCUCUUAUUGGUGGUUUAUGAGUGGGCUCUGGGGGAGGAGCAAGCUCUGGUACUGUGACUUGAGCAAGGGCAGGUUCUGGUGCAGUAAGUGGAGCAAGGUUAAGGUAUUCUGGGUCUGGAGCAAAGGUGGAGUCUGGUGUGACUGGAGGAAGGGUGGAGUCUGGUGUGACUGGAGCAAAUGUGGAGUCAGGUGUGACUGGAAGACGGGUGGAGUCAGGUGUGACUGGAAGACGGGUGGAGUCAGGUGUGCUGGUAAGGAGGAGAUAAUUUGUUCCGUAAAACAGCACAUUAUCAGGAGAACUUAUAUCCUUAUAAUUGUCCAGAAUUGUCCACUUUUUCUUUUCUAGUUCUUUUGCAAGGAGUAUUUUGGCUGCAUUUGGCUGCAUUUUGCAAGGCAUAUCCCCACAAGAAACUGAAAUGAAUAAAGCAAAUAAUUAGAGACAUGCUUAGGAAAUUAAUAUGGUAUUGGCCUAUGUAACAUACAGAUGAGUGGCCAAAGUGUCAUUCAUCAAUGUCAAUCUUAACACAUUGGACAUAGGCCUGAUACCACUGUUGAAUCAUUGUACAAGGUGUUAUUAUUCUAUACCUAGGCUACCAAAACUGCUCUGAGCUACACAGUCUGACGGAUUGGAUUGGCCAAUUGGAUACAUGUUGACAAUUUAUGACUGCAAAUGGACAAACGUGAUUGGAUUCAUUGUUUUUCUGACAUGACAAAUGUAGACACACAUUACUUUGAUCAAACAAAAUAGUUUGGGAUGUGGGUGAAUAACGUUUUGCAACCAAUUUAUUGAGUGCAAUAUUUACUAACGCAACAAAUAGUAAAGAAUACAAGACUUGUGUUUUUAACAGAAUUGGAUGAAUGCCAGAUUAUGUUACUCAUGUUGUGGGUUUAAUAUGAACGCCAACAAGUAAUGCUCAAAACUCGUGUUGUGAAUUAAAUCUCUUAGAGGAUCUUGUUUGCAAUGGCUUUUUAUCAGGUUACAAGAAAGAAGUAGGCCAUCUAUUUAAAUGUGAAUUGUUACUGCUGAUCUUGUGUGUGUGAUUAGGCUACUCAGGAGAUGUCGUGUGUCUAUGCGAGCCCUAACUCACUCGUGCGGUUUCCUUUGUCAAGUAGUUAGCUUAAGCUAGCUAGCUAAUAAGUCAUUUUAGUAGAUUACCCAUCUCUCUUUCCUGUAGCCUAAUCUUUCUUACCUUGAUCUUGGCGUCUGCGUUUCAAAGCCAUCUCCACCAACAUUUUCUUUCGAGUGCAAUGGGCCAUUCUUAAAAGCUAGAUCUAAUUAAUAAAAACAACCACUGCACCACAAUAACACUUUAUUACAGUUACACUCAUCCCAAUCAUCCCCACCAUUGGGACCCAUUCACAUUCACCCAUCCCAAUCAUCGGGGCCCAUUCACAUUCACCCAUCCCAAUCAUCCCCACCUCUGCCACUACAAUUUUACUUUAAAUCCAUUGUACGUUAACAGACUAUUCAAGACACAGAACCCUCACAAAGCAGCAGGUCUGACAGUGUCUCCUUCCACCCUAAAGCACUGAGCAGAUCAGCGUCCUGCUGUGUUUACGGACAUCUUCAACACCUCACUGCAUCCUGGGCUUUUUCAAGUCCUCCAUCAUCAUCUCAGUCCCCAAGAAGCCAAGGACCACCGGACUUAAUGACUACAGACCCGUCACCCUGUCCUCUGUGGUUUUGAAGUAAUUUGAGCACCUUGUACUGUCCCAUCUCCAGACAAUCACCGACCCUCUACAGUUUGCCUACAGAGCCAACAGGUCUGUGGACAAUGUGGUCAACAUGGCACUUCACGUCCUCCAGCACCUGGACUCCCCUGCAACCUAUGCCAGAAUCCUGUUUGUGGGCUUCAGUUCCGCAUUCAACACCAUAAUUGACGCCUUGCUCCAAGACAAGCACUCCCAACUGGGAGCGCCCAAGUCCACAUGCAGGUGGAUCACAGUCUUCCUGUCCAACAGGUAGGCAGCACGUGAGCCUGGGGAAGUACUUGUCUGACCCCCUGACUGGCUUUUCAACAGUUCUACUUUGUGAAGCUUUGCCCAUAGGGGCUUCGCGCCUAUUGGUUUACCCCUCUGCCAAUACGCAAUCACUGAAAAAUCACACCUCUCAUGGACAUCUGCCCCAUGGCUAUAAAAGAGGUUCUCACACUCUGCUCAGUCUCUGUUUUUUCUUCACGAGAAAGGUUUAAGUAUGGAGUCUACCAUGAUUUCUAUUAAGCCAAGGAUGGCUUCACCAUCUUCGACCACUGGAGCGGUCCCUGCUAGCCCGGCGCCCCGCCCGCCGACUUCCCUGUCUGCAUGCCGGUGUAGCGAGCUCGACGCGGCAGUCGACGUGCACACUGCUGCAUGCUUGCGAUGGCACCUGGUGGAAAAGCAAUACGCCCUGUCGGUCCCUGGUGCAGGCCCUGUCGGUCCCUGGUGCAGUCCCUGGCGGUCCCUGGUGCAGACCCUGGCGGUCCCUGGCGCAGUCCCUGGCGGUCCCUGGCGCAGUCCCUGGCGGUCCCUGGCGCAGUCCCUGGCGGUCUGCAACAACGUGGGCCUCCUGGCGGCGGCCGUGGCCGGGAUAACCGAGGGUCACACCUCGCUGUCUCCAGUGGAGGUGAGUGAGGUGGCAAGGGCUUCGGCGGCCAUCCUCAAGCGCAGGUGCACCUCAGGUCUCUGAGGGCUCUUCACAUUCCCGGAGAGCUCAAUGUGGGGGCCGAGUUGCUGUCUCAGGAAGGUCCCCGGGAUGACUAGUGGCAUCUUCAUCCCGACAUUGUAGUUGAGGUCUGGAGACGUUUUGGGAAGGCGCAGGUGGAUGUGUUUCCAAACCCAGGAGGAUGCACACUGCCCCUCUGUGGUGCGGACGGAGAGGCUGUUGCUCAUCCUGAUCGCUCCUUUUCACCAGGGUGCCCGGUGGUUUGCAGAGGCGGCUCAGAAGGCGGUGGGGACGCCAUGGCCAAGCCCUUACCGCCACGGACGGGGCACUGACACAGGCGAACGGCCUCCACGUCGGCUGGCUAUGCUAACCCUAACCCUAUGCUAGCCGUUGGGGGAUCUUUGCCCACUGGUGUGAUGACGUGGUGGUUGACCCCCUGUGUUGUGACGUGGGCAGUGUCCUGUCGUUCCUGCAGCGUCUGUUUGAUCAGCAAAGAUCCCCCGGCACGCUCAAGGUGUACGCGUGUGUGAUCUCAGUGUGUCACGAAGGGUUCAGUGGAGUGUCUGUAUUUAGAAGGGUUCAGUGGAGUGUCUGUAUUUAGAAGGGUUCAGUGGAGUGUCUGUAUUUAGAAGGGUUCAGUGGAGUGUCUGUAUUCAGUCAUCCCUUGGUGAAACGGUUUCUGGCCGGGUCCCGUCGUCUCUGGCCGGUGGCUCGGCGGACGUUGUCACAGUGGGAUUUGGCUUUGGUUCUGGAGGCACUGUGCGACGUGCCGUUUGAACCUAUUGAUCAGAUAUCGUUGAGGAUGCUGUCCCUUAAGAAGGCACUUUUGUUGGCUCUGACCUCUGCUAAGAGGGUCAGUGACCUUUGUGCGCUGUCGACGCAGCCUGGCUGUCACGCAAUCAACGGCGAUGGCAGCAGGGGUGUGUUUCUCCCUAACCCGGCCUUUCUGCCCAAGGUGAUCAAGCCAUUGCAAAACAGUUCUAAACUAGACUUAAACAUACAGAAAUUUUUAAGCAAACGAGUUUCCGUAAAUGAUCUGCACCUUUAACUUUCAGCAGUGCUGUCAAACACGCCGACAUCCUAUGGAAACUGACCUAAUUUGCAUGGAAUUUGUUGAGAUAUUUCUAACACUGGCCUCAAAAUCCCUUGUUUAGAUUGGAAACAUUAUUUUGGAAUCAAAAUAUUGUGCAAAAAGAUUGUUGUUUAUAAAAAUAAUAAGGAUCUGGCUCAAAUCAUUUCAAUCAGGCAAUUAUGUAAUAAAUGCAACAGCCCUAGUUGUAACUUAAAUGCUCAGUUUGCAAAGAUUGUGAAGAGUUCAUUUAUUUGUUGGAUCAUAGCGUUUGUGUUUUAUUGCUGUUUAAAUGUUGUCUAUUAUUUGGCUAUUUAAAACAUAUGUCUGGUAGCUGUUCUAUAUGGCCAGAAUUCUAGGAAUUUAUGACCGUCAAAAAACGUCUAGCAUAAACUCUGCCACCUACAGGUGGGAGAUUGAUCAUCUGGUGUCCUUGUGCAGUCAGAACAUCUUGGAGCUCAACACCCUAAAGACCGUGGAGAUGAUGGUGGACUUCAGGAGAAGCCCAGCUGCCCUUCACCCAUCACCCUGGGUGGUUCCCCAGUCAACUCUGUGGAGUCCUUUCGCUUUCUGGGCACCACCAUCACCCAGGACCUCAGGUGGGAGCUGAACAUCACCUCACUUACAAUGAAAGCUCAGCAGAGGAUGUACUUCCUGCGGCAGCUGAAAGAGUUCAACCUGCCAAAGACGAUGAUGUGGGCAUUUCUACACUGCCAUCAUCCGGGUCCAUCCUGACCUCCUCCAUCACUGCCUGGUACACUGCAGCCACAGCCAAAGACAAGGCCAGGCUGCAUUGCAGGAUCUGCAGAGAGGAUGAUUGGCUGCAAUCUGCGGUGUCUACAAGACCUACACACCUCCAGGACACAGAGGCGAGCUGCAAUGAUUGGGGCUGAUCCCUCAUCCUGUAGAUGGACUAUCCAGAACCCUCCCCUCUGGCAGAGGUCUGUCAGGACCAAAACCUCUCACCCCAAGAACAGUUUCUUUCCUACAGCAGUAGGCCUCAUGAACAUGCCCCUGGAACCAAACUGACUAUAGCCUGCUCCACACACACACACACACACACACACACACACUCACACACUCACACACUCACACACUCACACACAUUUCUAAGGUUCAGAAAACCUCAGUCAACUUUUUAGAUUCCCAAUCCGCCAGAGGGGACCGCCAGAGGGGACCGCCAGAGGGGACCGCCAGAGGGGACCGCCAGAGGGGACCGCCAGAGGGGGAUUAGACCAUGGAAUCCCUGCUGACCAUGCUUCCCACCUCUCAGGGAUACAAACCCACUGUGCUUCCCACCUCUCAGGGAUACAAACCCACUGUGCUUCCCACCUCUCAGGGAUACAAAC